CCCUUAGACGUUCUGGGCCGCACGCGCGCUACACUGACGAAGGCAACGAGCUUUCCUUUACCGAAAGGUACGGGUAAUCUUUUGAAACUUCGUCGUGCUGGGGAUAGAUCCUUGCAAUUUUUGAUCUUAAACGAGGAAUUCCUAGUAAGCGCGAGUCAUCAGCUCGCGCUGAUUACGUCCCUGCCCUUUGUACACACCGCCCGUCGCUACUACCGAUUGGAUGGUUUAGCGAGAGCCUUGGAUUGGAGCCCAGGUGGUCGGCAACGGCCGCUCGGGAUGCCGAGAAAUUGCUCCAGCUGACCCAUCUAGAGGAAGUAAAAGUCGUAACA
This 329-nucleotide ribosomal RNA is filed under the name uncultured eukaryote. RNAcentral's name for it is "partial 18S ribosomal RNA". It matches the Rfam family "Eukaryotic small subunit ribosomal RNA", at positions 1470 to 1796 of the family's 1831-position model. The record is from RNAcentral.